AAAAAUAUAAGUUUUAUUUAGUUGAGUUAUAAUAUUGGGAUUAUAUCAAACGAAAGCGUCCGCCUCCCUGUUGACCACUUAACCUGACACACCAUGGCACACUAUACGGCAUCCCGAAAAAGUAAUUUUUUACUUCAGUGUUUCAGUCCCAAUUGAAAGCAAAAUAUUUCAGAUGCACCUCAGCAACAAAGAGUUUUCAGUUUGCUCGUUGCUGCAAAACGUCACAUAAUUUGACGUCAAAUUUAGAUAAACAAUGGUAAAAAAGAAAAGCAGCCAAGAGUCUAGUAGCGUGUGAAAUGUUUCUCUAUUUUUGUAAUUUGUAACUUUGUGAUGGAUGGCGUUGAACUAAUACAUAGUUUUAGUUUUAUGAAUUAGCAUUGCCCAAUUAAAAUGGAUGUCGGAAAAAGUUCUUGGAAAGUUGGCUCAAAAAGUGAGAAAUGUUAUGUUAUCGGAGGUUUUUGAACUGAGAAAUUUAACUAGUCACUUAUGUUACUUGUUUUAUCUGGCCUCAAAUGUUAUAACUGGAAUAAACUGGUAUGUUUCUGACAUACUCGUAUUUCAGGCCGAAAUCAGACAAUUGACAUAUAUUAGGAAAUCAACACAUACCAGUUGCUUUUAUCACAAAAGAAGAGUCGGCUGACUAGUUUUGCUUGUGUACCACAAUAGUUGUUAACUAGUUCGUAACUAAUUUAUUUCACUGCUGGGAGUACUCAGUGAAACUAGACAGACAAAUAUUUGUUAAUCAUGAUACAAGGGCUAUUUGAGAGAAAUCUCUCCUGCUUGCCAAAACGUGCCGACUUUUCCGCAUUUUCCGAAAGAUUAAAAGUUCAAUGUAGUCAUGAAUCAUGUUGUUAAAAUUGUGUGUGAGAAACUUUUAUUUCAUUAAACUAUUCAAUAAAACAUAUUAAUAUUAUUGUUGUAAUGUA
Molecule: long non-coding RNA, 926 nt
Organism: Bactrocera oleae (olive fruit fly)
Lineage: Eukaryota; Metazoa; Arthropoda; Insecta; Diptera; Tephritidae
Source: RefSeq, a predicted model, not a curated record